This 345-nucleotide unclassified non-coding RNA is filed under the name soil metagenome. RNAcentral describes it as "partial contains 5.8S ribosomal RNA, internal transcribed spacer 2, and large subunit ribosomal RNA". The stretch from base 1 to 120 matches the Rfam family "5.8S ribosomal RNA", at positions 35 to 154 of the family's 154-position model. The record is from RNAcentral.
GAUGAAGAACGUAGCGAAAUGCGAUAAGUAAUGUGAAUUGCAGAAUUCCGUGAAUCAUCGAAUAUUUGAACGCACAUUGCGCCCUCUGGUAUUCCGGGGGGCAUGCCUGUCCGAGCGUCAUUUGCAACCCUCAAGCCCGGCUUGUGUGAUGGGUGCCGUCCCCUACGGGACGCGCCCCGAAGGCAAUGGCGGCGUCGCGGUUAUCCGAUCAGCCAAAGUGUAUGGGGCUUUGUCACUCACUUUACGGCCCGGACCGGCGCCAGUCCGAAUCAAUCUUUUUUCUAAAGUUGACCUCGGAUCAGGUAGGGAUACCCGCUGAACUUAAGCAUAUCAAUAAGCGGAGGA